GACGAACGCUGGCGGCGUGCCUAAUACAUGCAAGUUGAGCGCUGAAGGUUGGUACUUGUCCCAACUGGAUGAGCAGCGAACGGGUGAGUAACGCGUGGGUAAUCUUCCUUUGAGCGGGGGACAACAUUUUGAAACGAAUGCUAAUACCGCCUAAUACCUUUAACCACAAGUUUUAAGUUUGAAAGAUGCAAUUGCAUCACUCAAAGAUGAUCCCGCGUUGUAUUAGCUAGUUGGUGAGGUAAAGGCUCACCAAGGCGAUGAUACAUAGCCGACCUGAGAGGGAGAUCGGCCACAUUGGGACUGAGACACGGCCCAAACUCCUACGGGAGGGAGCAGGAGGGAAUCUUCGGAAAGGGACGAAAGUCUGACCGAGCAAAGCCGCGGGAGUGAAGAAGGGUUUCGGAUCGGAAAACUCUGUUGGUAGAGAAGAACGUUGGUGAGAGUGGAAAGCUCAUCAAGUGACGGUAACUACACAGAAAGGGACGGCUAACUACGUG
RNAcentral lists this ribosomal RNA (497 nucleotides) under uncultured bacterium. Its description in RNAcentral is "partial 16S ribosomal RNA". It matches the Rfam family "Bacterial small subunit ribosomal RNA", at positions 28 to 507 of the family's 1533-position model. The record is from RNAcentral.